CUCCCGCGGCGCCGACUGGAGCUCCAGAGCCCCUCCCGUCUCUACCUGCUCGAGCUCCCGAAGUCGCCGCGCCUUAACGCGCCGUGUCGGGGCCGCAGGCGCCACUAGGGAAGCCCAGCUCCCCGCUGGAAGGACGCUCCGGACACUGCGAAUGAAUGACGACAACGCGGCUCACUUGGAGCGGGUCCGGGUUUGUGCGGACUCGGUACCACCGCGGGCUCCGCGCGCCGAGCUGAGCAGCUGUGGCUGGCUUCGGGGGAACCUUCGGGGGAAGCUCCUGGGGACCGUGUGCCAAGCACUGGGCCCGACGCCCAUCCCAGCAGGGAGGACGCCGCCAGCCUGCGUGGGUGCGUGUGUGCUGUUUGUGUUUAAGGUUGACGCUCUAUGGGAUAGCGCCACCCCUUUUCCCAGGAAAAGUGUUUCAAGGUUCCAGACCUGGAGCUCGGUUAGAGACCCGGGGUCGGAAGCCAACGCAGCCAAUGGUCGUCGAUGUUUUUGUUUCCUGCAUCCCCAGGGCAAGUCAUGCGCUAAACUUGUCACCGCUUGUGACCCCUCCCCCCUCUCCAUUCCAUUGUAAUUAAAGUGGCCUAGCUAAGUGCAUUACAUCACUUCUUUCCUUGACCUGUAGGGCGUGAGCAAUAGAGAAGUUGGAAGCGGCCCAAAAGCUUAGACCAACUAAUUCACACCACAGCUGUUCCUAUAUCGCAUUUGGGGCUUCGAAAACUGGGCAUGGCAGAAUUUUAAAAUUUAUCCACUCUUGGUAGAUGGAUUUUUUUUUUAAUCAGUGAAACCAGAAACACACAAACCAGGGCAGCUUUAUCCCUAGACAGUUUCAGUUUCCCCAAAUACUUCGAGCUUCCAGUGGUGAUCACAGCCCAUCUGCCUACAUAUCUGAUGACCAUUUUUUUUUCCUCCCGCCCAGGAGAUCUGGAGGAUAGUUCAGCCAAAAAAAAAAAAAAAAAAAAAAAAAAAAAAGUUCCUCUUCCCAAAUGAUGGGAAUUUAGCAGACUCUGCUUUGUUGUGGAUGCUGGGCAAUCCUAGGGACUUUUCCCUUUCCAAAUGAGCAGAGAUUCAAAUGAAACCUUCUUGUGUGGGCUUCAAAAUUGUGACUUUUGUAGCUCCGACUUGAAUUGUUGAAUUCCUUCAAUUAGUCGAAUGAGCAAAUCACCAGCCAUUCUAAUGAGACUGCCAUUUCAUCUGUUCGCUUCCUACCGCUUGGGCUCUCAAGGAAUGGAAGUUUCCCUUGAUGUUACCACACAGACUGAUCUGCUUCUUCCAGGCAUCAGUGGAAACCUCAUGUAUUUAACACAGACUCAAAAAACUCAUUUGGCACUUUUGGUCACAGUGCAGUGCCUUCAGUCACAAAAUCUGCAAAUAAAAAGCAAACAAUAAGA
Molecule: long non-coding RNA, 1394 nt
Filed under: Homo sapiens (human)
Lineage: Eukaryota; Metazoa; Chordata; Mammalia; Primates; Hominidae
Description: non-protein coding lnc-ELMOD2-4:2
Source: RNAcentral